AGACCAUGAUGCGGGCAUUUCCUUAGUAGCUCCUUGAACCUUUCCCAUGUCUCGUACAAGGAUUCCCCAUCUUCUUGAGAGGAGGUUUUGAUUUCGCUCAUGAGUUU
This 107-nucleotide small nucleolar RNA is filed under the name Helianthus annuus (common sunflower). RNAcentral describes it as "sRNA HanXRQr2_Chr09g0368151". It matches the Rfam family "Plant small nucleolar RNA R71". From Rfam's summary of the family: R71 is a member of the C/D box family of snoRNAs containing the C (UGAUGA) and D (CUGA) box motifs. Multiple nearly identical copies of this snoRNA have been identified in Arabidopsis, and it is thought to function as a 2'-O-ribose methylation guide for 18S ribosomal RNA. The record is from Rfam by way of RNAcentral. Lineage: Eukaryota; Viridiplantae; Streptophyta; Magnoliopsida; Asterales; Asteraceae.